This 478-nucleotide long non-coding RNA is filed under the name Equus asinus (donkey). Its description in RNAcentral is "lncRNA (ENSEASG00005032493.1)". The record is from RNAcentral. Lineage: Eukaryota; Metazoa; Chordata; Mammalia; Perissodactyla; Equidae.
CUAAAGUCGUUUUACUUUAGAUGCUUUCCGAAAGGUUGUCCACGUCAUUUCCAGAUUCCAUGAACAGAUAAUCUCCAAGGUAUCACUCAAGUUAAAGAGACGGGACUUCUUCCCUCCCCACCCGUCUCCACGCAUCAGUGGAGGGGAGGGAGGAGACGGCGGACAGAAGAAGGAGGGGGGGCAAAGUGAGAAAAGCAAGAUGAGAAAGGGGUGUGGAAGGAAGGAUGAGAGGAGGGCAGGGAGAGAGGACGAUUAGGGCUGGUGGAGAGCCCGGGGCGUCUGCCCGGGCACGGGACCCGGUCCCGCAGCGCGCAGCCAGCUCCGCGGCCCCGGAGCAGUCGCAGCCCCUGCCCGGCCCGGCCCGGCCCGCGAGCCGCCUUCCCGCUCCGGACUGCGGCGGGCAGCGCUCGCGAUGCUGCCUCGGUACUAUUGCUCUCGUUGCUGAUGAAGCCAUGCUAUAUAAAGUACACCUCUGUCA